UUUGAAAUCUGGCCCUUGGGUCCGAGUUGUAAUUUGCAGAGGAUGCUUUUGGUGCGGUGCCUUCCGAGUUCCCUGGAACGGGACGCCUUAGAGGGUGAGAGCCCCGUACGGUUGGACACCAAGCCUAUGUAAAGCUCCUUCGACGAGUCGAGUAGUUUGGGAAUGCUGCUCAAAAUGGGAGGUAUAUUUCUUCUAAAGCUAAAUAUUGGCCAGAGACCGAUAGCGCACAAGUAGAGUGAUCGAAAGAUGAAAAGCACUUUGAAAAGAGGGUUAAAUAGCACGUGAAAUUGUUGAAAGGGAAGGAUUUAUGACCAGACUUUUUCUAGGGGAAUCAUCCGGUGUUCUCACCGGUGCACUUCCCCUAGUUGAGGCCAGCAUCGGUUUCUGUCGAGGGAUAAAAGCUUUAGGAAUGUGGCACCCUCCGGGGUGUGUUAUAGCCUGUUGCAUAAUACCUUGACGGGGACCGAGGUUCGCGCAUUGCAAGGAUGCUGGCGUAAUGGUUAUUAAUCACCCGUCUUGAAACACGGACCAAGGAGUCGAACAUUUGUGCGAGUGUUUGGGUGUUAAACCCUCACGCGUAAUGAAAGUGAACGGAGGUGAGAGCCUUUAGGGGUGCAUCAUCGACCGAUCCUGAUGUCUUCGGAUGGAUUUGAGUAAGAGCAUAACUGUUCGGACCCGAAAGAUGGUGAACUAUGCGUGGAUAGGGUGAAGCCAGAGGAAACUCUGGUGGAGGCUCGCAGCGGUUCUGACGUGCAAAUCGAUCGUCAAAUCUGCGCAUGGGGGCGAAAGACUAAUCGAACCAUUGACCAGCGGUCAAAACAAUCACUAGGUGGUUAAGAGGGGGUCCGCGAGGACCAUUUGAAAAACCUAGGUUGCGUCCGGUUACCCUGUAGGCUACCCUGUAGCUUACCCGGUACCGGUCCGGCCGACACCGCUAAAAUGCGGGGACAUCCCUUUACAGGGCCAAAGGCUACCGCCACGCGCUGAAAAGUGUGCUGGCACCGA
This 1005-nucleotide ribosomal RNA is filed under the name Apiospora saccharicola. RNAcentral describes it as "LSU rRNA". It matches the Rfam family "Eukaryotic large subunit ribosomal RNA", at positions 114 to 1403 of the family's 3401-position model. The record is from RNAcentral. Lineage: Eukaryota; Fungi; Ascomycota; Sordariomycetes; Amphisphaeriales; Apiosporaceae.